UAACCAGACACACCAAACCACUCGCUCUCUUUCCCACAGGCCAUGAGGGAGGCAGUGGAGGUGUGGGGGGUCCAGCACGCCAUCAUAGACAACCUGCAUUUCAUCAGCAAAUGAAUUAAUGAAGUAUGAGAGGACCAAGCAGGUGGUGGACAGCCUCAAGGGGAAUGAGGAGACCCUCCGUGGUGCCGUGGCUGACUGUGAAGGAAAAUUAAAGAAGCAAGAACAAAAAUUCCUUGAAUUCCAAAAGCAUGCCGAGGAGAAAAUACAAAUGUAAGUUUUACGUUUGAUAAUGAGAUACAGCAAUAGCUGAGUAUGUUGAAAAGGGAAAAAAACAAAAAAACUUUUCUAUUUAAUAUUUAGAUGGAGCUUUAACGGAAAUAUUUUAAUUUUGGGGAGUUUCUCAUUUUUUAUCUCUUUCAUACCUUUAGGUGGAGGUUUUUAGAUUUUGGGAAGAGAUGUUUGUUUAUUUUUUUGAAAGGUAAUUGUGCUUUUGUGGCUCAAGAGGAAAAAGAAUAAAGGAAAUUGACUCAUUUAAUGAAAUGGAAUGUCUAACAAGAAAAGCUCUCCUUAGAAUGGUAGAUUAUGACGAGACACUGUGUGUGUGUGUGUGUGUUCACACGUGCAUGCAUUUGUGGAUAUGUGCAUGCAUGUGUCAAACACUACUAUAUUGGAAUCCAGAAUUGACAAAAUGGAAAGAAAUUGUAAUUAUUUCCCUACAAAAAGGACACACAAUUAUUGACUACAUAGAUAUUGGACACUUUGCAAGAGACAAGUGUGUAUGCAUUAAUAAUCAUCACACAAUUAUUAAAAGAAUUGAGAGAGAAAUCUUUAAUAUUGCAAAAGUAAAUUAGGAUUAGUAAAAUCAAAAGUUGGGAAAGUUCCCUCCUAUACUUAUCCUUCUUCAGCCUUGUAGGUGCAGUCAUCAAAUGAAAUACCUGCUUUUGUGUGAGCUUGUAUCCUGUGUAAGGUGUCUACAUCCCAGUGUGAUGCAUGUCAUGACAGUGUAGGAGGCAUCCUCUGUUCAUUCCAGUACUAGGCACCAUAUUGAGGAACUACUUUAAUAAAUGCUGAAGAUAGGAAGAUCCUUUUCUUUGUUGGCUGUGCACUCUUCAGGAUUAUUUUGGGUUUAUCCUUGUAUGAUACAGAAAUAACAAGUUACAUGGGAAUCAUUAACAGUAUCCCAUUGUGGAGAUUGGCUGAAGCAGCUUAGAAAUAAUCCCCAGUCCUUGCAAGACCACAAAGAACACUGUAGCUGAGAAAAGAAAAUUGUAUCUGCUUUACGCUGCCGUUGGCAAGCCGAGUGUAAUAACUCUGGCUUCCUGUAAGACUCUUAUUACACAUACAUAGUUCUCUAAGUUUAUGCACAGACAUCAUGCAAUUCUUAUUAUUCUUUGUUGAAUCUGUUGAAAAUUUGUGCCUUAUGCCAUGCAGAUCAGAGAAAUAUUAAAGAUGUGUAUUGCCACAAUUCAUGAUUGCAGUCAGACCGACCUGUCUUUGAUGUGGCAAACUGAGGGAGGGAAUAAAGCAGAUGUGUGCUGCUGCCCCUGGUAGUGGCUGACAGCUGUUGUGGGACUACUACAGCUGCUACUAACAUGGCUGUACUGGAGGGACAAUAGUACUUGCAUGUUGUAUCCCUUAGAUUUUUCAACUUCAUGUAAACUAUGGUUUCAUUUUUCUUAUAACUAACCAAACUCCAUUUCUGUCACACGAAUGCAAAGCAUCAUCACAUUGUGCUGUCUAGCACAUGAAGGCCUUCAGGACCUGCCAGCCACUGCAGCAGAGGCACAGCUAACCCAUUGCUACUGUGCUGUUUCACUCACUGCAGUUUAAAAAUUGUGUCACUUGUAGCACUUGCCAUAAUUUAUUUUCUUCUGAUGUAUGAUUUUCCUUGAUUCAUGAUAUUCAUGUAUCAGAAAAUAAAGUUGUUUAACAAAUA
Long non-coding RNA from Portunus trituberculatus (swimming crab), 1936 nucleotides. RefSeq lists it as uncharacterized. NCBI's taxonomy places the organism in Eukaryota, Metazoa, Arthropoda, Malacostraca, Decapoda, Portunidae. The record is from RefSeq and is a predicted model, not a curated record. The transcript has 2 exons.